CAGUAGCCACGGUAAUACGAAGGGUGCAAGCGUUAAUCGGAAUUACUGGGCGUAAAGCGUGCGUAGGCGGUGAGUUAAGUCUGCUGUGAAAUCCCCGGGCUCAACCUGGGAAUGGCAGUGGAUACUGGCUCGCUAGAGUGUGUCAGAGGAUGGUGGAAUUCCCGGUGUAGCGGUGAAAUGCGUAGAGAUCGGGAGGAACAUCGGUGGCGAAGGCGGCCAUCUGGGACAACACUGACGCUGAGGCACGAAAGCGUGGGGAGCAAACAGGAUUAGAUACCCGGGUAGUCCCUGUCUCUUAUAC
RNAcentral lists this ribosomal RNA (301 nucleotides) under uncultured bacterium. RNAcentral describes it as "partial 16S ribosomal RNA". It matches the Rfam family "Bacterial small subunit ribosomal RNA", at positions 509 to 807 of the family's 1533-position model. The record is from RNAcentral.